UUUGAAAAAUAUGCUUUACUGAAAAACAUCUUUGUUCACUGCUUAAAGCUUCAAAUGAAACAAAGCCAAGUUUUAAAAUUCUUUCUUGAAACUAACAUUUAAAGGCAGUAACUCACAGAUUCUUCCCAUUCAUAAAAUUCAGCUUUGUGUUUUAAGAUGAUUACCACAAGGAACAAUGUUUUUAUCUGCCCUAUGAUACCUGACAGCUGGGAACUGCACCAGAGAUCUGCCAUCAUCCAGACUUAAUCUAUUAGCUUUGAAAAGAGACAAUACUGUGGAAUUACUGCACACUCUCACUAAUGGCUCACCUGACUUCAAUGUUUUGUUUGCUUGUUUUAGAGGUGGAGAAAAGAUACAUUUUACAGUUGCUCAAAAUCACAACUGGAGUAAAAACUAGAGAACUCUGCCAUUUCAACUGGCUAGAAAGCAUGCAGAACCAGGAAACAAACCAGAUCCAUCAGCCAGACCAGGCUAGCACACAGAUGGCUGACUGAUGGUUUACAGUGAUGUAAACCCUCUUCCCUCAGGAUGUCCUGAAGUGCACAAAUGCUUUUAAAAUGUCACUGUAUAGUUAUACAAAGUAUUAAACUAGGGCUAGAAAGAAUGUCAUCUUACAUCUCCAUUGUGGCAGAUACAUUUAAAGCCAUCCAAUAGGCAGCUAUGAAGAGGUACCGAUAUUUGGCAAUAGCCAUCACCCCACCCUUUGCUAAAGCAUUUACUGUUCCAUCUGGUUAGCCACAGUAUUCCGAAAUGUAAAAAAAACCCACUAAGCUUUCAACAGCAUGUCAAGUAAAGAUGUCACCACAAGAAAGAAGUCAAGUCUCUCAACUUGCAUGGCAAGGACCUUCACCAUUUCUUCAAACUGAAAUUGCUAGAGUGGGGGGAAUAAAGUAAAAGAAAUGAAGUUACUCCACAUAAAACCUACUAAUCCCGUCUGAGAAGACUGGGAAGUACAAGUGGCAGACUUAACUUCUGUAAUUCAGGCAAAUAAUUUGGGAAACAGAGCAUUAGCUACAAGUACCAUGUGAAUGUCUUUUUUUUCCCCUUCUCAAAUCUGUUCUUUUCCUACAGUCUGAAAUCAGCCAUUUAGGUCAUUAUUUUCCUGAGGUAAAGAUGACUGCAGUUGUCUU
RNAcentral lists this long non-coding RNA (1130 nucleotides) under Strigops habroptila (Kakapo). RNAcentral's name for it is "lncRNA (ENSSHBG00005011443.1)". The record is from RNAcentral. Lineage: Eukaryota; Metazoa; Chordata; Aves; Psittaciformes; Psittacidae.